AGUGAACGCUGGCGGCAGGCCUAACACAUACAAGUCGAACGGCAGCACAGUAAGAGCUGUCCUUUACGGGUGGCGAGUGGCGGACGGGUGAGGAAUACAGCGGCAUCUACUUUUUCGUGUGGAAUAACGUAGGGCAACUUACGCUAAUACCUCAUACGACCUACGGGGGGAUUCAGGAGAUCUUGGGACCUUGCGCGAAUGAAUGAGCCGAUGUCGGAUUAGCUAGUUGGCGGGGUAAAGGCCCACCAAGGCGACGAUCCGUAGCUGGUCUGAGAGGAUGAUCAGCCACACUGGAACUGAGACACGGUCCAGACUCCUACGGGAGGCAGCAGUGGGGAAUAUUGGACAAUGGGCGCAAGCCUGAUCCAGCCAUACCGCGUGGGUGAAGAAGGCCUUCGGGUUGUAAAGCCCUUUUGUUGGGAAAGAAAAGCAGCAGGUUAAUACCCCGCUGUUCUGACGGUACCCAAAGAAUAAGCACCGGCUAACUUCGUG
This 492-nucleotide ribosomal RNA is filed under the name uncultured bacterium. Its description in RNAcentral is "partial 16S ribosomal RNA". It matches the Rfam family "Bacterial small subunit ribosomal RNA", at positions 29 to 507 of the family's 1533-position model. The record is from RNAcentral.